CUGCUAAAUAGCCCAGUCGGCUACGGCUGGCUGUUGGCUUCUUAGAGGGACUAUCGACGUUUAGUCGAUGGAAGUUGGAGGCAAUAACAGGUCUGUGAUGCCCUUAGAUGUUCUGGGCCGCACGCGCGCUACACUGACCGAGCCAGCGAGUAUAUCACCUUAUCCGGAAGGAUUG
Molecule: ribosomal RNA, 175 nt
Filed under: Septobasidium carestianum
Lineage: Eukaryota; Fungi; Basidiomycota; Pucciniomycetes; Septobasidiales; Septobasidiaceae
Description: partial small subunit ribosomal RNA
Rfam family: Eukaryotic small subunit ribosomal RNA
Source: RNAcentral